RNAcentral lists this transfer RNA (68 nucleotides) under Karusasaurus polyzonus. RNAcentral's name for it is "tRNA-Ala". Lineage: Eukaryota; Metazoa; Chordata; Lepidosauria; Squamata; Cordylidae. The record is from RNAcentral.
AAGACUUGUAGAACUUUACUCCACAUCUUCUGACUGCAACCCAGACACUUUAAUUAAGCUAAAGCCUU